This 105-nucleotide small nuclear RNA is filed under the name Marmota monax (woodchuck). Lineage: Eukaryota; Metazoa; Chordata; Mammalia; Rodentia; Sciuridae. The record is from RNAcentral.
AGUGCUUUCUUUGGCACUCCCUAUACUAAAAUUGGAACAAAACAGAGAUUAGCAUGGUCCCUGCCCAGGGAUGACACACAGAUUCAUGAAGCAGUCCAUAUUUUU